RNAcentral lists this ribosomal RNA (196 nucleotides) under uncultured Desulfovibrionales bacterium. RNAcentral's name for it is "partial 16S ribosomal RNA". It matches the Rfam family "Bacterial small subunit ribosomal RNA", at positions 335 to 523 of the family's 1533-position model. Lineage: Bacteria; Pseudomonadati; Thermodesulfobacteriota; Desulfovibrionia; Desulfovibrionales. The record is from RNAcentral.
ACCCCUACGGGGGGCAGCAGUGGGGAAUAUUGCGCAAUGGGCGAAAGCCUGACGCAGCGACGCCGCGUGAGGGAUGAAGGUCUUCGGAUCGUAAACCUCUGUCAGCAGGGAAGAAAUUUACAUGUGCUAAUCAGCGUGUAAUUGACGGUACCUGCAAAGGAAGCACCGGCUAACUCCGUGCCAGCAGCCGCGGUAA